Molecule: ribosomal RNA, 497 nt
Filed under: uncultured bacterium
Lineage: Bacteria
Description: partial 16S ribosomal RNA
Rfam family: Bacterial small subunit ribosomal RNA
Source: RNAcentral
GAUGAACGCUGGCGGCGUGCCUAAUACAUGCAAGUCGAGCGAACAGACGAGGAGCUUGCUCCACUGUCAUUAGCGGCGGACGGGUGAGUAACACGUGGAUAACCUACCUAUAAGACUGGGAUAACUUCGGGAAACCGGAGCUAAUACCGGAUAAUAUCUUGAACCGCAUGGUUUAAUAGUGAAAGACGGUUUUGCUGUACCUUAUAGUUGGAUCCGCGCCGCAUUAGCUAGUUGGUAAGGUAACGGCUUACCAAGGCAACGAUACGUAGCCGACCUGAGAGGGUGAUCGGCCACACUGGAACUGAGACACGGUCCAGACUCCUACGGGAGGCAGCAGUAGGGAAUCUUCCGCAAUGGGCGAAAGCCUGACGGAGCAACGCCGCGUGAGUGAUGAAGGUCUUCGGAUCGUAAAACUCUGUUAUUAGGGAAGAACGAUGGUGUAAGUAACUAUGCACGUCUUGACGGUACCUAAUCAGAAAGGCACGGCUAACUACGUG